GAAACAUAAAGGCUUAUUUUAAAUCCUUAAUUACAAUGCCACUGAGGAACUAUGCAAUAAAAGAAAAAACAAUUCUAGAUAGAAAGAAUAUUGUCAAUACUCCCCCUUAAGAUGGUGUAUAAAUAUCUAAUAUGCUCAUCUUGCAAACUAAAACCAUGAAAAGAUUUGCUACUAAUUCUCUUAGUGAAAAUAUCUACCAACUGAUUUUUAGAAAGCACAUGAGAAAUAUUCAUAGUUGCACAUUUUAGUUUCUCUUCAAUGAAAUGGCUGAUUGAUGUUGUUGAAAUUUAGAAGGAUAGAA
This 301-nucleotide unclassified non-coding RNA is filed under the name Hevea brasiliensis (rubber tree). Lineage: Eukaryota; Viridiplantae; Streptophyta; Magnoliopsida; Malpighiales; Euphorbiaceae. The record is from RNAcentral.